CCUUAGCAAACCUGCCCCUCAGUCUGCCCCUGAGCAACAACUUUGCGCAUGCCCAUUUCAACGCAUCGCUCAAACUGGGGUUUCAGAAGAGAUUUUGCAGGGGUUCAACACCGUCUUGUACGCAUUGGAUUUCAACUGGAAAUUAGCUACUUCAAAAGAUUAUCCUACCACCGUCACACGGCCUAGCACUGUGUCCCUGGGAAAUGAUGAUUCCAUACCCCUAGAUGUCAACUCUGGUCUGGUGGAGGUGAACCAAUUGGGGGCCCAGGAAAACAGCUGGCAGCCAGGCAAGUGCAAAUAUAAGACACUCAAAAAAAUAUAUGCUUUGUAUACAACCAUUCAAGGUAACAUUUGUUAUUUACAUCAAUGUUACAGCUAAUCUAGAAGAACCAGUGUAUGCCAAUCAUGCUAACUCUUGUAAACUUGUUUUACUUGUCUUUAAUGACAGACACAUUACAGGUUAUGCUCCGGAAGAUGGAGACAUUGGAGGAGAACCAGCGAGAGGCUCUCCUAUUCAGGCGACUACAGGGCAGACACACUGAAGAGGUGCCAGUGAUGGACCUACAGGUGGCCCAAACACAGGCUGAACUCCAAGACCUUGAGGAGCGCCUUAAGGUGCUGGAGUUGCGAAAGAGAGUGACGCUGUGAUGAAGUGGAAGACGGGACUGGGAGAGAAAGCUGUGGAGCUCCUCAUAGAGGAGACACUCAAACACACCCCGGCAGCCCAUUCAAAACAAGCCAGGUGAAUGAAUCAUGAU
Molecule: long non-coding RNA, 758 nt
Organism: Osmerus eperlanus (European smelt)
Lineage: Eukaryota; Metazoa; Chordata; Actinopteri; Osmeriformes; Osmeridae
Exons: 4
Source: RefSeq, a predicted model, not a curated record